RNAcentral lists this ribosomal RNA (468 nucleotides) under uncultured bacterium. Its description in RNAcentral is "partial 16S ribosomal RNA". It matches the Rfam family "Bacterial small subunit ribosomal RNA", at positions 28 to 507 of the family's 1533-position model. The record is from RNAcentral.
GACGAACGCUGGCGGCGUGCUUAACACAUGCAAGUCGAACGGAAGGGCCCUGCUUUUGUUGGGUGCUCGUGUGGCGCACGGGUGAGAAACACGUGAGUAACCUGCCCUUAUCUGUCUGAUAACUUCAGGAAACUGGGGCUAAUACCGGAUAGGAUCUCCUGCUCCAUGUUGUUGGUUGGAAAGUUUCGGCGGUUGGGGAUCGAAUCGCGGGUUAUCAGCUUGUUGGUGGGGUAGUUACUUUCCAAGGCUUUGACGGGUAGCCGGCCUGAGAGGGUGACCGGGCACAUUGGGACUGAGAUAGGGCCCAGACUGCUACGGGAGGCAGCAGUGGGAAAUAUUGCGCAGUAGGCGGAAGUCUGAUACAGAGACGCCGCGUGCGGGAUGACGGCUUUCGGGUUAUAAACCGCUUUGGACUGUGACGAAGAGUGAGUGACGGUAAUGGGUAAAGAAGCACCGGCUAACUACGUG